GAUGAACGCUGGCGGCGUGCCUAAUACAUGCAAGUCGAGCGAACAGACGAGGAGCUUGCUCCUCUGACGUUAGCGGCGGACGGGUGAGUAACACGUGUAUACCCUACCUAUAAGACUGGGAUAACUUCGGGAAACCGGCGCUAAUACCGUAUAACAUGUUGAACCGCAUUGUUCAACAGUGAAAGACGGUCUUUCUGUCACUUCUAGAUGGAUCCGCGCCGCAUUAGCUAGUUGGUAAGGUAACGGCCUACCAAGGCAACGAUGCGUAACCGAACUGAGAGAGUGAUAGGCCACACUGGAACGGAGACACGGUCAAGACGCCUAAGGGAGGCAGCAGUAGGGAAUCUGACGCAAUGGGCGAAAGCCUGACGGAGCAACGCCGAGUGAGUGAAGAAGGUGUUCGGAUCGGAAAAAUCUGUUAUUAGGGAAGAACAAAUGUGUAAGUAAAUAUGCACGGAGUGACGGUACUGGAUAAGAAAGCCACGGCUAACUACGUG
This 497-nucleotide ribosomal RNA is filed under the name uncultured bacterium. Its description in RNAcentral is "partial 16S ribosomal RNA". It matches the Rfam family "Bacterial small subunit ribosomal RNA", at positions 28 to 507 of the family's 1533-position model. The record is from RNAcentral.